Molecule: long non-coding RNA, 1003 nt
Filed under: Sus scrofa (pig)
Lineage: Eukaryota; Metazoa; Chordata; Mammalia; Artiodactyla; Suidae
Description: lncRNA (ENSSSCG00070019390.1)
Source: RNAcentral
CCCUGGUGCUGGGACAAGUUUCCCAGCCCUCAUAGUCAUGGGUGUGGCCCAUUUGUGGGAGUCAGCUUCCUGUCCACCUCCCGAUGAAGGCCGCCCAGCAGGUCUGGCUUCCCAGAAGUUAACUGAUAACAUGGGGUUUGUCAUGUCCUAGAGAGCAGAAGGGAGCUGGGAGGGGGUGGGGGCCAGGGGGCAAGGAAAAUUGCUACCUGAUUUAUUGAAGACUUCUCUUGCCUUACACUUGGAGGUUCUAGAAAACCUCUUGCAGAACUUCACACAUGACUCUUCAAGCCACACCCACCUGAAAUCAAACCAAAGGAGUGCUGUGGCUCCCCUUGCCCUGACACCCCUUACCCUAGUCUUUUGUAGAUUGCACUAAUUUACAUCCCAGUGAGAAUCAACACUGUAUCAGACCACAGACCUGCUGAGCUGCAGCCACUCACUCUAGGAGCUAAGGACCUGCAUUUUCAGUUUGUUCCUGUUGCCCAGGGGCCCUAUUCUCACCUCAUGCUGCUCCCCAGAGUAGAUUAGGAGGCUCAGCCCCCUGCUGCCCUUACCAGGACUAGGCCCUUAGCCCUGGGGCACUCUGUAGGGGGACUGGAGCAGCCUAGUUCUUUUCCUAUUUGUACCAAAGAGGUCCCUCCCCCCUUGGGAAGGGUAGCAUGGGCUAAGGAGGUGGCACUGGGUGAGGACCACUGGGCUAAGACCCAUGGGCUAAGGAGGUGGCACUGGGUGAGGAUCACUGGGCAGGAGCUGGAGAGGGAGGUGGAAGAGAAUCCCGGGGGCACUCCCAGCCAGCCCCCAGUCCUGUGCUGCCCCUGAGCAGACGGCUGUUCCUGAUUGGUCACUGGCCUUGGGCGAGGCCUGGACCUUUCAGAGGUGAACUUACAUAUGGGAACCAGUCCCAAACCCUAAGGGAAGGGACUUGGGUCCCCUUGUAUUGAAUAAGCUGUUUGGAGGAAGGCAUCAAUCCAGGAGGGUGGGGCAGUAAGAGAGGUUGGCAGAG